This 30-nucleotide non-coding RNA is filed under the name Mus musculus (house mouse). Lineage: Eukaryota; Metazoa; Chordata; Mammalia; Rodentia; Muridae. The record is from RNAcentral.
UCCCACAAUGAGAAAGUUGAGCAGUCCAGA